UGGGGAAUAUUGGACAAUGGGCGAAAGCCUGAUCCAGCCAUGCCGCGUGUGUGAAGAAGGUCUUCGGAUUGUAAAGCACUUUAAGUUGGGAGGAAGGGCAGUAAGCGAAUACCUUGCUGUUUUGACGUUACCGACAGAAUAAGCACCGGCUAACUCUGUGCCAGCAGCCGCGGUAAUACAGAGGGUGCAAGCGUUAAUCGGAAUUACUGGGAGUAAAGCGCGCGUAGGUGGUUCGUUAAGUUGAAUGUGAAAGCCCCGGGCUCAACCUGGGAACUGCAUCCAAAACUGGCGAGCUAGAGUAGGGCAAAGGGUGGUGGAAUUUCCUGUGUAGCGGUGAAAUGCGUAGAUAUAGGAAGGAACACCAGUGGCGAAGGCGACCACCUGGGCUCAUACUGACACUAAGGUGCGAAAGCGUGGGGAGCAAACAGG
This 429-nucleotide ribosomal RNA is filed under the name Pseudomonadota bacterium. Its description in RNAcentral is "Proteobacteria bacterium partial 16S ribosomal RNA". It matches the Rfam family "Bacterial small subunit ribosomal RNA", at positions 355 to 776 of the family's 1533-position model. Lineage: Bacteria; Pseudomonadati; Pseudomonadota. The record is from RNAcentral.